CUGCAGUCAAUUAAGUUGGAUUAGUGUGGCCCUUCCCUUAGCUUGUUGCUUUUGCUAAGCAGAUUCAGUACUGGCAAGUUAAGAUGGGAAACUGCAUUUUUGAGAUCAAAAUCCCUGAAUGCAAUGAAUCACAAAUAGAAGAGUUUGUACAAGACAACUUGGUUGGGCCCGUAGUGAACUAACAGUUAGUUUAAAAUGAUCAAAUUGAUGGGCCUGAAUGUGAGGAAUCACCGUAUCCAGAUGAAGAAGAGGACUUAGCCAAGAUUUAUAAUAGCGUUAGAAAAAUGAUAUGCACACAGAUACUGAAUGACACCUUCAAUUUUGAUCAGAUGCUAAAUGACAAGGUAUGUUGCUACAAUUUCA
Long non-coding RNA from Ipomoea triloba (trilobed morning glory), 363 nucleotides. RefSeq lists it as uncharacterized. The record is from RefSeq and is a predicted model, not a curated record. Lineage: Eukaryota; Viridiplantae; Streptophyta; Magnoliopsida; Solanales; Convolvulaceae. The transcript is spliced from 3 exons.